GCUAUGUGGUCGGUAGAAUUUUUUUUUUUUGGGGGGGUAACUAUCUGCAUCAACUCAUAGCAAAAUGCUUCAAAGACACUACGAACUCCAGUGUCGACCAGCCACCAUGAGUGUAAAUUAACCGUUUGAACGGACUCCCAUCUUAACUACGUGGAUGGACGUCAGAAGUCCUAUGAGCUGUGGCCAGUCAAGAGUGUUGUGGCCUCAGAGGGUGAAGGGACAGUUGCUUGGUCUGCAAACCUGGGUGAUCCCAUGAAAAUGUUCCAAUGAAGUUACUCCCGUGAGAGCAGUGCCGGAGAGUCAAGAGGACAGUUGAUUGGUCUGCCAACCUGGAUGUGAACCCCUGAAAAUACAGCAAGUAAUGCCAUUGGAAUCAGAUCAGGUAAUGGGGUCAAAGACGUUGUGCCAAGGACAGGACUCAAGAACUGAAAUUACCAAAUGAAUGAUCAGUGACUGACUAAAAGAAACAAGUUCAAUGCAAACAUUAAAGAAUGUCAAGUUUAAUGGUGUACUUAAAACCAGAAAGUCACAGGGCUCUAAGCCCCAAAGUUAAUCUGUGUGAAAGGCUGAAUUGUAAGGUGCUUUCUUGAGUGCGUCCAGGAAGAACUGCUCGUCCUGCAGAAAGUCACGAUCCUAAGAAGAUAAAACAAGUACAUUGAUCGACAAUAAAGAUUUUGAAACUA
Molecule: long non-coding RNA, 683 nt
Organism: Salvelinus namaycush (lake trout)
Lineage: Eukaryota; Metazoa; Chordata; Actinopteri; Salmoniformes; Salmonidae
Exons: 7
Source: RefSeq, a predicted model, not a curated record